UACAGAGGGUGCGAGCGUUAAUCGGAAUUACUGGGCGUAAAGGGCUCGUAGGCGGCCAACUAAGUCGGACGUGAAAUCCCCAGGCUCAACCUGGGAACUGCGUCCGAUACUGGAUGGCUUGAAUUCGGGAGAGGGAUGCAGAAUUCCAGGUGUAGCGGUGAAAUGCGUAGAUAUCUGGAGGAAUACCGGUGGCGAAGGCGGCAUCCUGGACCGACAUUGACGCUGAACGGCGAAAGCUAGGGGAGCAAACGGG
This 253-nucleotide ribosomal RNA is filed under the name uncultured bacterium. RNAcentral describes it as "partial 16S ribosomal RNA". It matches the Rfam family "Bacterial small subunit ribosomal RNA", at positions 524 to 776 of the family's 1533-position model. The record is from RNAcentral.